Molecule: ribosomal RNA, 451 nt
Filed under: uncultured bacterium
Lineage: Bacteria
Description: partial 16S ribosomal RNA
Rfam family: Bacterial small subunit ribosomal RNA
Source: RNAcentral
AACGAGCGCUGGCGGCAGGCUUAACACAUGCAAGUCGAACGGGUGUAGCAAUACAUCAGCGGCAGACGGGUGAGUAACACGUGGGAACCUUCCUAGGGGUACGGAACAACUCAGGGAGACUUGAGCUAAUACCGUAUACGUCCGUGAGGAGAAAGAUUUAUCGCCCUUAGACGGGCCCGCAUCGGAUUAGCUAGUUGGUGGGGUAACGGCCUACCAAGGCGACGAUCCGUAGCUGAUCUUAGAGGAUGAUCAGCCACACUGGGACUGAGACACGGCCCAGACUCCUACGGGAGGCAGCAGUGGGGAAUCUUGGACAAUGGGCGCAAGCCUGAUCCAGCCAUGCCGCGUGAGUGAAGAAGGUCUUCGGAUUGUAAAGCUCUUUUGCCAGGGACGAUAAUGACGGUACCUGGAGAAUAAGCCCCGGCAAACUUCGUGCCAGCCGCCGCGGUAA